CGAGAUAGCGACAAUGUGCUUUACACGGCGAUGAUGGGUAGAUCGUAAAGACGCUGUGAAUACAUCCCUGUACGCUCGAGUUGCGCCAUCCCUGGCGCAAACGCUUU
Molecule: non-coding RNA, 107 nt
Filed under: Pectobacterium atrosepticum SCRI1043
Lineage: Bacteria; Pseudomonadati; Pseudomonadota; Gammaproteobacteria; Enterobacterales; Pectobacteriaceae
Description: Yersinia sRNA 224
Rfam family: Yersinia sRNA 224
Source: Rfam by way of RNAcentral